Long non-coding RNA from Brienomyrus brachyistius, 870 nucleotides. RefSeq lists it as uncharacterized. Lineage: Eukaryota; Metazoa; Chordata; Actinopteri; Osteoglossiformes; Mormyridae. The transcript has 5 exons. The record is from RefSeq and is a predicted model, not a curated record.
AUUUUCAACACCACUGCGUCACCAUCCAAUGCAGCCAGCCCAGAGACACAGACUGCGAUCAGUGUUACACCGGGUUACUAUAGUAAUUAUUCUACAGGAAGUUCCACUGCAAACACUCCUCAAGGCAGCGCUCAUGCAGACAGAUCCUUCCUCAUCAUUGUACCUGUAGCAGUGAUCCUGCUGCUGCUGCUGCUGGUCCUGGUGACAGGUCUCUGGUUACAUAAACGAAAACAGCAGAGAGAAGCGAGAUCUGCGCCUGAAGUGGAACAUCAGACAGAAGUCUCGGUGCAUUAUGGGAACUUGGGCGCCCACAUUGGGUUACAGCAGUGGGAUGGACGUGUAGAAGAUACAUGAAGAAAGGGACCCUGGCGACUGUGAAUCCUGCCUGUAAUGCCUGCUAAACGCAGCCUGAUGUCUGUAUCUGUGCCUUCAUGCUACAUGCUGCAGUUGAUAAGUUUCAUUCUACUGAAUCCACUGAGAGGCGUAAUGGUGAGACACUAUAUACACAGCAAAGGUAUUUAGUGAAUAAUUGCUCCCUACUUGGUUACAUUCUGACACUUUAGCUUUAUUUAGGAUUCUGUUACAGUGUAGAAAAGAUGGUUGACUUUUUUUUCCUUUUAUGGACUGAUCUGAUAUAUAUUAUGGAAGUAUUCUUUAUUACAAAAAAGGCGAAAGCAGUUGUACUGAAAUGUGAAUCAAUGCUUUUCAUUUUCCGUUUGUCGUAUACAUCCAUGUGUGUGACGUAAGGUGGAAUAAUGGCGUUACGGAAGUGCGAAAAGUGAAACGCAAGCGGCAUUUGUCUAAUCAAGGAAAACGCAUCCGAUGUACUCCAUGAUAAUGGCUCUCUGUAACCUCGUCUGUCCUUCUUAA